GAUGAACGCUAGCGGCAGGCCUAAUACAUGCAAGUCGAACGGGAUCCAGAUCAAAGCUUGCUUUGGUCUGGUGAGAGUGGCGCACGGGUGCGUAACGCGUGAGCAACCUACCCUUGUCAGGGGGAUAGCCCGGCGAAAGUCGGAUUAAUACCGCAUGACAUCAUUGAGAGGCAUCUUUCGAUGAUCAAAGAUUUAUCGGACAAGGAUGGGCUCGCGUGACAUUAGCUAGUUGGUAAGGUAACGGCUUACCAAGGCUGCGAUGUCUAGGGGCUCUGAGAGGAGAAUCCCCCACACUGGUACUGAGACACGGACCAGAAUCCUACGGGAGGCAGCAGUAAGGAAUAUUGGUCAAUGGACGGAAGUCUGAACCAGCCAUGCCGCGUGCAGGAAGACGGCCCUAUGGGUUGUAAACUGCUUUUAUACGGGAACAAACGUCGGUACGUGUACCGGUCUGAGUGUACCGUAAGAAUAAGGAUCGGCUAACUCCGUG
This 490-nucleotide ribosomal RNA is filed under the name uncultured bacterium. Its description in RNAcentral is "partial 16S ribosomal RNA". It matches the Rfam family "Bacterial small subunit ribosomal RNA", at positions 28 to 507 of the family's 1533-position model. The record is from RNAcentral.